This 473-nucleotide ribosomal RNA is filed under the name uncultured bacterium. RNAcentral's name for it is "SSU rRNA". It matches the Rfam family "Bacterial small subunit ribosomal RNA", at positions 26 to 518 of the family's 1533-position model. The record is from RNAcentral.
AGGACGAACGCUGGCGGCGUGCUUAACACAUGCAAGUCGAGCGGAAAGGCCCUUCGGGGUACUCGAGCGGCGAACGGGUGAGUAACACGUGAGCAACCUGCCCUUAGCUCCGGGAUAGCUCCGGGAAACCGGAAUUAAUACCGGAUAUGACCUAGGCCGACAUCGGCUGUGGUGGAAAGUUUUUCGGCUGGGGAUGGACUCGCGGCCUAUCAGCUUGUUGGUGGGGUAAUGGCCUACCAAGGCGACGACGGGUAGCCGGCCUGAGAGGGCGACCGGCCACACUGGGACUGAGACACGGCCCAGACUCCUACGGGAGGCAGCAGUGGGGAAUCUUGCGCAAUGGGCGAAAGCCUGACGCAGCGACGCCGCGUGGGGGAUGAAGGCCUUCGGGUUGUAAACCCCUUUCAGCAGGGACGAAGCGAAAGUGACGGUACCUGCAGAAGAGCGCCGGCUAACUACGUGCCAGCAGCCGC